CGGGGGCACGGGGGGAACGCGAAGAACCUUACCAGGUCUUGACAUACUAUGCAAAUCUAAGAGAUUAGACGUUCCCUUCGGGGACAUGGAUACAGGUGGUGCAUGGUUGUCGUCAGCUCGUGUCGUGAGAUGUUGGGUUAAGUCCCGCAACGAGCGCAACCCUUAUUAUCAGUUGCCAGCAUUAAGUUGGGCACUCUGGUGAGACUGCCGGUGACAAACCGGAGGAAGGUGGGGAUGACGUCAAAUCAUCAUGCCCCUUAUGACCUGGGCUACACACGUGCUACAAUGGAUGGUACAACGAGUUGCGAACUCGCGAGAGUAAGCUAAUCUCUUAAAGCCAUUCUCAGUUCGGAUUGUAGGCUGCAACUCGCCUACAUGAAGUCGGAAUCGCUAGUAAUCGCGGAUCAGCA
Molecule: ribosomal RNA, 410 nt
Filed under: Lactiplantibacillus plantarum
Lineage: Bacteria; Bacillati; Bacillota; Bacilli; Lactobacillales; Lactobacillaceae
Description: bacterial SSU rRNA
Rfam family: Bacterial small subunit ribosomal RNA
Source: RNAcentral